Molecule: small nucleolar RNA, 139 nt
Filed under: Dasypus novemcinctus (nine-banded armadillo)
Lineage: Eukaryota; Metazoa; Chordata; Mammalia; Cingulata; Dasypodidae
Description: Small nucleolar RNA SNORA70 (ENSDNOG00000038492.1)
Rfam family: Small nucleolar RNA SNORA70
About the family: snoRNA U70 seems to be exclusive to mammals and is a member of the H/ACA class of snoRNA which contain H (ANANNA) and ACA box motifs.
Source: RNAcentral
CUGUAGCCUAUGAUGUCAUGUCAACCAUCCUCGUUUCCCCAUGGGGGCCCAGGGUACUGUGUCUGCAGACAGCAGCAUCCAUAUUAGUGUAUGUACCCUACUGCUUGUAUGAUUGUCUGAAGGGACCUUGGAGACAGCC